RNAcentral lists this ribosomal RNA (468 nucleotides) under uncultured bacterium. RNAcentral's name for it is "partial 16S ribosomal RNA". It matches the Rfam family "Bacterial small subunit ribosomal RNA", at positions 28 to 507 of the family's 1533-position model. The record is from RNAcentral.
GACGAACGCUGGCGGCGUGCUUAACACAUGCAAGUCGAACGGAAAGGCCCUGCUUGUUUGGGGUGCUCGAGUGGCGAACGGGUGAGUAACACGUGAGUAACCUGCCCUUGACUUUGGUAUAACUUCAGGAAACUGGGGCUAAUACCGUAUAGGAGCUCCUGCUGCAUGGUGGGGGUUGGAAAGUUUCGGCGGUUGGGGAUGGACUCGCGGCUUAUCAGCUUGUUGGUGGGGUAGUGGCUUACCAAGGCUUUGACGGGUAGCCGGCCUGAGAGGGUGACCGGCCACAUUGGGACUGAGAUACGGCCCAGACUCCUACGGGAGGCAGCAGUGGGGAACAUUGCACAAUGGGAGGACGCCUGAUGCAGAAACGCCGCGUGCGGGAUGACGGCCUUCGGGUUGUAAACAGCUUUAGCCUGUGACGAAGCGUGAGUGACGGUAAUGGGUAAAGAAGCACCGGCUAACUACGUG